CGGCCGGGUUCGGGUGGGUGGUCGCGGGGCGGGUCCUCGCCCCGCUGCGCCGGGUGACCGAGACGGCGCGGCGGAUCGCGGCCGCCCCGGUCGCC
Molecule: transfer RNA, 95 nt
Filed under: Microtetraspora sp. NBRC 13810
Lineage: Bacteria; Bacillati; Actinomycetota; Actinomycetes; Streptosporangiales; Streptosporangiaceae
Description: tRNA-Glu
Source: RNAcentral